This 858-nucleotide ribosomal RNA is filed under the name uncultured Neocallimastigales. Its description in RNAcentral is "partial large subunit ribosomal RNA". It matches the Rfam family "Eukaryotic large subunit ribosomal RNA", at positions 22 to 644 of the family's 3401-position model. The record is from RNAcentral. Lineage: Eukaryota; Fungi; Neocallimastigomycota; Neocallimastigomycetes; Neocallimastigales.
CUAUACAUGACUCUGCGCAUAUCAAUAAGCGGAGGAAAAGAAACUAACUAGGAUUCCCUCAGUAACGGCGAGUGAAGCGGGAAGAGCUCAAAUUUGAAAUCUUCAAGGUUCUACCUUGACGAAUUGUAGUUUAAAGAAGUGUUUUCUGUUGGAGUUUUGGUAAAAGUUCUUUGGAAUAGGACAUCAUAGAGGGUGAGAAUCCCGUAUUUGACCAUUAUUUCCAACUUUGUGAUACACUUUCAAAGAGUCGGAUUGUUUGGGAAUGCAGUCCAAAAUGGGUGGUAAAUUUCAUCUAAAGCUAAAUACUGGCGAGAGACCGAUAGCGAACAAGUACCGUGAGGGAAAGAUGAAAAGAACUUUGAAAAGAGAGUUAAACAGUACGUGAAAUUGUCAAAAGGGAAGCGUUUGACACCAGUGUUGUUUAGUUGAAAAUCAAUUUAAUAAUUUUUGAUUUUAAGUAGUAUUGACUUUAUCAGCUUGCUGCUUUUUUCUCGAAAAUUAUUGAAUGCACUUUUCAGUUAACAAGUCAACAUCAAUUUCUUUUGUUGUAAAAGGGUAAGAGGAAGGUGGCUUGCGCUUCGGCUCAAGUGUUUAUAGCCUUUUACCUCUGCAAUCGGAGAGAUUGAGGUCUGGAGCGUAGACUCUUCGGGGUUAGAUACACUUGUGCUAAGCUAUAGCCUUGUAUAGACAACUUGUUGACUAUGCUCAGUCAUGUAGCUUACUCGCUUAUGCUAUUUUACCUACGCUUAGGAUGUUGAAGAUAUGCGCGACACGACUCUAUACAUGACUCUGCGCAUAUCAAUAAGAGGAGGAAAAGUCAAUACCUACGCUUAGGAUGUUGAAGAUAUGCGCGACACG